GAGAGAAUCAAGAAUCUGCAACCCGCGGACCCAGAACUCCAAAGGGUGCGGCGCGACAUCGAGAAGGGUCGUGUAAUAUACCAGAUUUUGGUAAAAAAAAUAAAAAUAAAUAAAAAAUAGUGUGGGAUACUAUUUUUAUUAGAUUUAGAGAAGUAAAACAUAAGUCAGAAUUGAUUUGUGCUGAGAUCGGAAUGAAAACAGAAGAUUUAGAAUUUUCUGUUGGAAACGAGACAGAUAAAUUAGCAAAAAAUGCACAGUCUCAGAAAAUUAUGAAAAUCGGAGGAUAAGUCAGAAAUAUUUUUAUGAGAUUAGAUUUAAAGUUUCAUAUUUUUCUGACACCCGAAAGUUGAGAAAUAAAAUCCGAAAGUUAUCUGAUAAAGUUUACAGUUCGGUAUAGUUUUCGGUGACCAAACAGGGUCGAAACUGAAAACUUUAAGUAUAUUCUUGUUCAGUACGUUAAACCGAAUAUGACUGUCAAAUUUGAGCUCAAACGGAUACUCUGAGAGUUCCGGCGAAAGAUAUCAGAUUUUAAGUUACCUGGAGUGAAUAGUGUCGGGGUGUAAUUAAUUAAAGAAGCUAAUUAGCUUCUUCUCCUCCAUCAGCCGACCACCAUGGCCGACACACCCACACACACGCACGCAUGGAUGGGGAAGAGAAACUCCCCUUUCUCUCUCUAAAUAUCUCUCUCAUCUCUCUAUAUCUCUCUUUAAAAAUUGGAGGGUUGGUAGAGAUCGAGUCUGCGAACGCGUUGGAGGCGACGGAUCGAGCUUUCGUACGCCCGUUGGAGCGGCGUGUUUUCGUUGCGGCGUUCACAUUGGGGUAAGCUUUUGGGAUUUGGUUUAAUCCUUAGCUUUAAGUGCACUAAUCGCCUCUAAUGAGCAUUGAUAGUAUGUUGUUCCAUUUAAUUGGGAUUAUUUGGAGGUUAAUUCAUGUUAGGGCUCAAAAAUGCUAAUUUUGAAAAUAUGAGGGUUUGAUCUAAUUUGACCCUCCGUAAACCAAAUUGCUAGGUAAACGAACGCGUUGGCGAAGACGGUUCGGCAAUCCGACUAGCCGUUACAAAGUUGUUAAAGAAAUGGACGUUUAGGCUUCGUUACCGCCUGGAGGGCCGAGGCGACGUCGUAAAAUCAUGGAAAUGGAUUUGAAGCACCGUGGCACAUAACCGAAGACCUUUAAUUUUCGGAUCGUGGAUCGGAGGCCGUUCGGGUGGUCGCGCAAAAGAUCGGGCCAAACCGGGUUACGGGUGCCGCGGGAGGCCGAUUGCAAGUGUCGACAAGCAAUCGGAAAGCGUUUUGAGGUGGGUUGUGCUCACCGAAGCGAUUAGGUCGCUUUCCAUGCUAAAGUGUAGUAUGUUUACUAUUGAUGCAUGAUAAAGUAUGCUAUUUAAGAAUGCAUGAUAAAGAUUAAAGUAUGCUAUUUAAGAAUGCAUGAUAAAGAUUAAAGUAUGCUAUUUAAGAAUGCAUGAUAAAGAUAGAUGUCAAGUGAAUGCAUGAGUUGAUGUUAAUUUACAUGAGUAUAUUAUAGAAAUGCUAAACAGAUGUCAAACGUAAGUAUGAGAUUUAUACUAACCGAGAAUGCAUGUGGUAAAUGUUAAUGAAUGCAUAAAAUGCUAAGUGAUGACUACCAAUGGAUGACAAAAUAUCCGCAUAAUGAACAUAGAUCGAGUGGCAUUUGGAAAUGGUAAAGUGGACACUAGAGUUAGUGUGGGACAUCAAAGAAUAAAUGUGGUGUAAAGAACAAUGAUAAUGGCUAGAGGCAAUGUAAAGUAAUGUGGCAUAAAGAAUAAGCAAAGUGUAAAGAAUAAUGAUAAUGGCUAGAGACAAUGUAAAGUAAUGUGGCAUAAAGAACAAGCAAAGUGUAAAGAACAAUGAUAAUGGCUAAAGUUAGCAACCAAUGUGACAUAAAGAACACUAGAGUUAGUGUGUGGCAAUAAAAGAACAAGUGUGGUAUCAAGAAUGAUAAUUACUAAAGUAAUUGAUAAUUGUGGUAUAAAGAAUAAUGAUUGCUAGAGUUAGCAACUAAUGUGAUGUAAAGAACACUAGAGUUAGUGUAAAACCAUGAUCCAACUACAUAUCCUUAGAGUUAAGGAUUGAUCAUACUUGCUAUGAGUUCCGUGCUCGAGGGCGGUCGCUCCCGUCGAGCGAUGCGCUCCGGAGUUUUGCAUCACGGGUUGGAGUAAACCCAAGGACGGUUCUUGCGGGUGAGUUCCUGCGAUGAUGGACUUAAUGUGAAGCAAGUUAAUGUGCCGAAACCUACGGGUUAGCCAAAAAGAAUCAUGAAUUGGAAAGUGAAUCUUGUAUAAAUUAUGAAUUGACUCAAAAUCGAGUCGAAUGGCAUAGUUGGCUAAGGUAAAUGUAACCUUAGGAAAGAGUGAUAAUUGAGAAAGACUUGUUAAUAUUAUAAAGAAUGGCAAAUGUGUAUGAUGAGCCUAAGGCGCGAGUGCCCUUAGUAAAGAAUAAAGAACAAAGAAUAAAGUAUAAAGAAUAAAUCAUAAAGAAUAAAGCAUAAAGAAUAAAAAAUAAAGAAUAAAAAUUAAAGAAUAAAGAAUGGUUAAUGAUAAAGAAUUGCAUAUUCUAAUGAAAUGCUAAUGGUAAAGAAUGACUAAGA
RNAcentral lists this long non-coding RNA (2604 nucleotides) under Ananas comosus (pineapple). Its description in RNAcentral is "long non-coding RNA (ACOM_LNC026153)". The record is from RNAcentral. Lineage: Eukaryota; Viridiplantae; Streptophyta; Magnoliopsida; Poales; Bromeliaceae.